UACAGAGGUGCCGAGCGUUAGGCGGAAUCACUGGGCUUAAAGCGCGUGUAGGCGGGUCGGUAAGUGUCUUGUGAAAUCCCACGGCUCAACCGUGGAACUGCUGGGCAUACUGCCGAUCUUGAGGCACUCAGGGGCUGUCGGAACAAAUGGUGGAGCGGUGAAAUGCGUAGAUAUCAUUUGGAACGCCAAUGGUGAAAACAGACAGCUGGGGGUGUCCUGACGCUGAGACGCGAAAGCCAGGGGAGCAAACGGG
Molecule: ribosomal RNA, 253 nt
Filed under: uncultured bacterium
Lineage: Bacteria
Description: partial 16S ribosomal RNA
Rfam family: Bacterial small subunit ribosomal RNA
Source: RNAcentral